Molecule: small nuclear RNA, 66 nt
Filed under: Octodon degus (degu)
Lineage: Eukaryota; Metazoa; Chordata; Mammalia; Rodentia; Octodontidae
Source: RNAcentral
GUGCUCGCUUCGGCUGCACAUAUACUAAAAUUGGAACGACACAGAGAAGAUUAGCAUGGCCCCUGC